GUAUAGUUAAGUGACUAAGCGUACAAGGUGGAUGCCUUGGCAAUCAGAGGCGAUGAAGGACGUGCUAAUCUGCGAAAAGCUUGGAUGAGUCGAUAAGAGGCGUUUAAUCCAAGAUGUCCGAAUGGGGAAACCCAGUAGAUGAAGAAUCUACUAUCACUUACUGAAUACAUAGGUAAGUGAGGCAAACCGGGAGAACUGAAACAUCUAAGUACCUGCAGGAAGAGAAAGAAAAAUCGAUUUCCUGAGUAGCGGCGAGCGAAACGGGAGGAGCCCAAACCAACGAGCUUGCUUGUUGGGGUUGUAGGACUAGAACGUGAGAAGAAAUCAAGAUAGCAGAAGUGGUCUGGAAAGGCCCAUCAAAGAAGGUGACAAUCCUGUACGCGACAUCUUGAUGAACUCUACUAGCAUCCUGAGUACGGCGGGACACGAGGAAUCCCGUCGGAAUCCGCCAGGACCAUCUGGCAAGGCUAAAUACUACCUAGUGACCGAUAGUGAACCAGUACCGUGAGGGAAAGGUGAAAAGAACCCCGGGAGGGGAGUGAAAGAGUACCUGAAACCGUGUGCUUACAAGUAGUCAGAGCCCGUUAAUGGGUGAUGGCGUGCCUUUUGUAGAAUGAACCGGCGAGUUACGUUUACAUGCGAGGUUAAGAUGAAGAGUCGGAGCCGUAGCGAAAGCGAGUCUGAAUAGGGCGCAUGUAGUAUGUGGACGUAGACCCUAAACCAAGUGAUCUACCCAUGUCCAGGUUGAAGGUGCGGUAAAACGCACUGGAGGACCGAACCAGGGCACGUUGAAAAGUGCUUGGAUGACUUGUGGGUAGC
This 819-nucleotide ribosomal RNA is filed under the name Rothia mucilaginosa. RNAcentral's name for it is "partial 23S ribosomal RNA". It matches the Rfam family "Bacterial large subunit ribosomal RNA", at positions 1 to 819 of the family's 2925-position model. The record is from RNAcentral. Lineage: Bacteria; Bacillati; Actinomycetota; Actinomycetes; Micrococcales; Micrococcaceae.